CCUACGGGUGGCAGCAGUGAGGAAUAUUGGUCAAUGGCCGAGAGGCUGAACCAGCCAAGUCGCGUGAGGGAAGACGGCCCUACGGGUUGUAAACCUCUUUUGUCGGGGAGCAAAGCGAGUCACGUGUGACUCAUUGAGAGUACCCGAAGAAAAAGCAUCGGCUAACGCCGUGACAGCAGCCGCGGUAAUCCGGAGGAUGCGAGCGUUAUCCGGAUUGUUUGGGUUUAAAGGGUUCGUGGGGGGUUGGUUAAGUUUUAGGUGAAAUCCCGAGGCACAACUUCGGUAUUGCCUCUGAUACUGUUCGGCUAGAGAGUAGUUGCGGUAGGCGGAAUGUAUGGUGUAGCGGUGAAAUGCUUAGAGAUCAUACAGAACACCGAUUGCGAAGGCAGCUUACCAGGCUACUUCUGACGUUGAGGCACGAAAGCGUGGGGAGCAAACAGGAUUAGAUACCCCAGUAGUC
This 460-nucleotide ribosomal RNA is filed under the name uncultured bacterium. Its description in RNAcentral is "partial 16S ribosomal RNA". It matches the Rfam family "Bacterial small subunit ribosomal RNA", at positions 338 to 795 of the family's 1533-position model. The record is from RNAcentral.